UAAUAAAGGUCAGAUUUGGUAGAUGGAG
RNAcentral lists this non-coding RNA (28 nucleotides) under Mus musculus (house mouse). The record is from RNAcentral. Lineage: Eukaryota; Metazoa; Chordata; Mammalia; Rodentia; Muridae.